Molecule: long non-coding RNA, 571 nt
Filed under: Homo sapiens (human)
Lineage: Eukaryota; Metazoa; Chordata; Mammalia; Primates; Hominidae
Description: HSALNT0338129
Source: RNAcentral
AUACAGAGAGACAGAGACAGUGUGUACCAUUUUAUAAUAUGAGAGCUCUGCAUCUUCUAAGACCUGAGGAAGGUCAUCCCAGCUUUCUGUCAGGAAAGGAAACAGCACUUCUCAAAAAAUAGAAAGAGCAUGAUAUGGAGCUGGAGAGGAGGGGAGAGGAGAACAGAAGGCAAGGUGGGAAAGGACACCUGGCAGAGACAACAUCUGGAUCCUGAACCUGGAGGAGAAAUCCACUUAUAUCUCACUUUAGAUUUGCCAGCUGCUUUUAUUUUUAUUUGGACUUACAGAAAGGUGAGGCUGGGUGUGGUGUCUCAUGCCUGUAAUCCCAGCACUUUGGGAGGCCGAGGCAGGUGGAUCACGAGGUCAGGAGAUGGAGACCAUCCUGGCCUACAUGGUGAAACCCCAUCUCUACUAAAACACAAAAAAAAUUAGCUGGGAGUGGUGGUGUGCGCCUGUAGUCCCAGCUACUCGGGAGGCUGAGGCAGGGGAAUCACUUGAACUGGGAGGCAGAGAUUGCAGUGAGCUAAGAUCACGCCACUACACUACAGCCUGGGCAACAGUGAGACUCCGU